AAAAAAUCUCAAAAUGUCCGUUAGCAAUGAAAAAGUUUGACCAUGAAAAAUCACAUAUCUAAGAAAUGCAGUCGUUUAAUUGAUUAUAAGAAAGUUUCAGUAUAUCAUGUCAAAUUUCUGUAAUUUGAGAGUUUUCCUUUAGUAACAAAUGUAGCUCCAUGUCCGAUGGUGAAAUAAAAAUGAAUGUCUCAGAAAGUGGUGAAUUAGUUUCCAUAAAUGACAGAUGAAUCGGGCCAAGCUUAGUAACUUACAGUAAACAGACUACUGUAACAUUGACGCACUCGUCGAACUGUUUAAAAAAUAUGUGUUUAUGACCAAAAAUUUAUAUACAACUUCAUUUAUAAAUUAAUCUGAAUUUCAUAGCGCGUCGUCACAAUAAUGAAAGUUAUAAAAACAAUCUAUAACCAGCA
RNAcentral lists this long non-coding RNA (410 nucleotides) under Mytilus galloprovincialis (Mediterranean mussel). The record is from RNAcentral. Lineage: Eukaryota; Metazoa; Mollusca; Bivalvia; Mytilida; Mytilidae.